GCAUAUCAAUAAGCGGAGGAAAAGAAACUAACAAGGAUUCCCCUAGUAACGGCGAGUGAAGCGGGAAGAGCUCAAAUUUGUAAUCUGGCCCUUUCAGGGUCCGAGUUGUAAUCUCGAGAAGUGUUUUCCGCGCCGGACCGCAUACAAGUCUGUUGGAAUACAGCGUCAUAGUGGUGAGAGCCCCGUAAUUGAUGUGGAUGCCCGGUGCUUUGUGAUACACUUUCGAAGAGUCGAGUUGUUUGGGAAUGCAGCUCAAAUUGGGUGGUAAAUUCCAUCUAAAGCUAAAUAUUGGCGAGAGACCGAUAGCGAACAAGUACCGUGAGGGAAAGAUGAAAAGCACUUUGGAAAGAGAGUUAACAGUACGUGAAAUUGUUGGAAGGGAAACGCUUGAAGUCAGACUUGCUAUUCGGAAUUCAGCCGCAAGGUGUACUUUUCGAUUUGCAGGCCAGCAUCAGUUUUUGGGGGUGGAAAAGGGUGGAGAGAAGGUAGCAACCUUGGUUGUGUUAUAGCUCUUUACUGGAUUCAUCUUUGGGGACUGAGGAUCGCAGUGCGCAAUUUACUUUGCAAACCUUUCGAGGUUUUCGUACUUAGGAUGCUGGUGGAAUGGCUUUAAACGACCCGUCUUGAAACACGGACC
RNAcentral lists this ribosomal RNA (637 nucleotides) under Leucosporidium sp. AY30. RNAcentral describes it as "eukaryotic LSU rRNA". It matches the Rfam family "Eukaryotic large subunit ribosomal RNA", at positions 38 to 667 of the family's 3401-position model. The record is from RNAcentral. Lineage: Eukaryota; Fungi; Basidiomycota; Microbotryomycetes; Leucosporidiales; Leucosporidiaceae.